RNAcentral lists this transfer RNA (90 nucleotides) under Gammaproteobacteria bacterium. RNAcentral describes it as "tRNA-Ser". It matches the Rfam family "tRNA". From Rfam's summary of the family: Transfer RNA (tRNA) molecules are approximately 80 nucleotides in length. Their secondary structure includes four short double-helical elements and three loops (D, anti-codon, and T loops). Lineage: Bacteria; Pseudomonadati; Pseudomonadota; Gammaproteobacteria. The record is from RNAcentral.
GGAGAGGUGGCAGGGUGGUCGAAUGCGGCGGUCUUGAAAACCGUUGACGGUGCGAAUCGUCCGGGGGUUCGAAUCCCUCCCUCUCCGCCA